UACUUGGAAUCCGAUAGCAGUUGCCCGUGGACCGAAACUGAAUUAACCUUCAAGGCGAACAAUGGAAGUUACCGAACAUCAAAGUUUCUGAACGCGUUGAAUUGCGCAUUAGCUAAGAUUUGAUUAAACACGAUUUGAGUGCGAUUCAAAAUAAAAUAAUACGUGUUUUUUAAAAAAGCAAUUGGAAAUAUUUUUGCACACUUUUGCAUUUUCUAAUCGAUUGCCGAGGUUCUUUCCUGUAUGCACAUUUCUGAGGUUCAUUGGACCAGAAAAUGCCUCAAACGACUCCAUUUGCAGCCAAGUUUACCCCGAACCCCUACAGUGGAACUCGCACUCACUACAAACAGGUGGAAGAGUGCAGACUACUCUACCACAACAACAACCUUGUGUCUGGGUCACUGGAGGCUCUUAUACAGCACCUUGUUCCCACUGUGGACUAUUACCCUGAUAGGUCCUACAUCUUCACCUUUCUGCUUAGCUCACGUCUCUUCCUGCAUCCAUUUGAGCUCAUGUCCAGAGUGUGCUAUUUGUGUGUGGAGCACCACAGGGUGGGUGACCCACAGAUUGAUAAGAAACGGAUCCGGGAUAUCGCUCCAAGAAUUGUACAGCUUCUCACAGAGUGGACGGAGACGUUUCCGUAUGACUUCAGGGAUGAACGUAUGAUGCGUAGCUUGAAAGAGAUGACGCACCGUCUCGCCCUCGGAGAUGAGUUGUCUCGGCGGGCCAUGCAAAGGCUUAUCCAGCGGCUUUUACGCAAGAUGACCAUCCUGGGACAGUAUGAGGAGACCAUUGCGACGCCUGCCGCCACACAAGAAAAACCGGCUUCUCAGAAAGCCAAGCAGCAUGUUGUGCGGAGGGAGGAGUGUGUUCUCUCUGUGUGUGAUGACCCCUUUGUCCUCGCUCAGCAGCUUACACACAUCGAGAUGGAGAGACUCAGUUACAUUGGCCCUGAAGAAUUCAUUCAAGCAUUUGUUCAGAAAAGACCCUCUGGCAGCCGCAAGAGUUUGUUCAGCAAAAGACGAGCCAGUAAUCUGGAGGCAUACGUUGAGUGGUUCAACAGGCUGAGCUAUCUGGUGGCCACUGAAAUCUGCUUGCCAGUGAAGAAGAAGCACAGGGCCCGUGUCUUGGAAUUCUUUAUUGACGUGGCACGAGAAUGCUUUAACAUUGGCAACUUCAAUUCAAUGAUGGCCAUUAUCACUGGGAUGAAUAUGAGCCCUGUGGCCAGGCUGAAGAAGACUUGGAGUAAAGUCAACACUGACAAGUUCGAGAUCCUGGAGCAUCAAAUGGACCCAUCCAAUAACUUCUACAACUAUCGCACAGCACUGCGGGGAGCCACUCAGAGGUCUAGCACAGCUCACACUGCCAGAGAGAAGAUUGUUAUCCCGUUCUUCAGCUUGUUCAUUAAGGACAUCUACUUCCUUAAUGAAGCCUGUGCCAGCCGAUUGCCCAACGGGCACAUCAACUUUGAGAAAUUCUGGGAGCUGGCUAAGCAGGUGAGCGAGUUUCUAGCAUGGAGGCAGGUGAUCUGUCCAUUUGAAAGGAACAGAACAACUCUGCAGUAUCUCAUCAGUAUCUCCAUUUUCACUGAAGAUGAGCUUCAGCUGGCCUCCUAUGAAAGUGAGGGGCCUGAGAACAGCGUGGAGAGAGACACACGUCGCUCUCUCAGGUGGUCACUAGCGCCAGAGACAUUCUGCACCGUAGAAAGAAAAGUCUCGGCUCAAAACUGGUGCAUCGGAAACAUUUUUUAAUUAGCUCAAUGCCGAUGAUCGCUUUAGGUGUGCAUUUCAGAAUUUCAAUUACUUGAGAUCAUCUCUUAGCAGGAUGUGAAUACUGCUUUUGGAUAUUUGAACUGGCCUUGAAUGAACAGGACAGUCAGUAAACUGAAAGACUGCCUCCUGAUGCAGGAGCUGAAUGGCUGCACACUGAUGUUUGUAUGUUUGUAAAUGUUUGUAAACCAUUUGUUUGAAUCAUGGCUUUUGCGUAAUUUUUAUUUUGGGUUUUUCCCCUCAUCAAAAGAGACUGGUUUCUCAUUACAGAAAAAUCAUUAUGUUAAAGGAAACAUACUCUUGUGUACCUCAUGUAAAAACAGUUGAAAUAAGCUUAGUGAAGUGUAUCGUGAGCCUGUGUUGUACAAAGAGCGUGUCGCUGGUCGACCUCUUCUGUUAUGCAGUGUAAGCUUUCUAGUGGGGUGUUUUUGUAUUUGCAGAACAGUUUGUUACAAUCUCAAAUAAUUGUUUUUGUAUGUUUUUGGUGACCCAAUUUGUGUUUAUACACAAUAUGUGUUAUAUAAAAAAGUCUAACCAGU
RNA transcript from Electrophorus electricus (electric eel), 2305 nucleotides. It is a transcript of the gene named RasGEF domain family, member 1Bb, with no coding region annotated. The record is from RefSeq and is a predicted model, not a curated record. Lineage: Eukaryota; Metazoa; Chordata; Actinopteri; Gymnotiformes; Gymnotidae.